CAGAUUGCAUUCAGAUUGCCUAUCGAUUCCCUUUCUCCAUCUCAAUCUCAAAAAACAAAAGAUCCCCUUCCUCCUCCCUGCCGCCCACCGCCACCGCAUCCACCACCCUGCAGCCGCCUCGUCUCCCCUCCGGCCCAGCCAUCCCCUCUCUCUGUUCCACGGCGAGGAACGACCGGUCCGCAUCAUACCUUAGCCGGAGGUCCUUUUGCCGUCCAUGGCGAUGGAGGCAAUGCGUGAGGUGAGGCGGCUCGGCGACCGCCUGCACCACGCGCGCGACGGCGGGGACGAUGGCGCGUUCUUCGCCGACUACCCCGCGUGAGCUGGCUCGCUACACCUCCUUACUGCCUCAACCCGGCAGCCCAGGCAGCAGCAGCCGGCUCUGGAGGUCCUCCACGGCACGGAUCUACCAUCCUCGAGCUCAACACACUUGGUAACGUUCCCUGUUCCGGAGGCUGUCCGUGACGGGAAUAGUCUUCUUCACCGUCGCGUACCAGUGGUGGUGUUGAUCUAUGAAUCAGCUGAUGUGCGUUUGAUGUCAUCCGGGUUCACCCAUUGGAGAUGGACAUGUGCCCAUGCAGUGGCGGCAUGUAGAGGUACCCGCACCCGUACUUGGCGAGCCAAACAAGCCGUCACUCCAUGGAGCAGUCAGCGAUUAGAUACGGUCCAGCAGGGAUGCAGACGUACAGAACACAUGGAUGCGAUAGGGUGGUAACACCAAGUCCAUGUUCAUGUGGAGAAACUCGUGGCGAGAUACGUUGUGAUGGUGAUGGCUGCGAGCCCGUUGAAGUCUGGCAGCAUAGAGGCUGGCAAGGCGAUAUGAUAGUGCUGCAGGCAGCUCUGGCCAGCGCGUCACCUAAGUUCUGUCCUUGCUUUCUCCUCCUCCGACGUACUUGCCGGAUCAAGGCUGCGUAGUCAGUGCAUCUCGUUUUCUCUCUAUCCUUAUACUGAACCGAUCUUGCAUGACGCUACUCUAGUCUAAAUAAAUACAAUGUUGCGCAACUUUUACUGAUUACGAUUGGAUCCUGAUAUCUUCUGUUUCUAGAUUCACUGAGGAUUUCUUACACCUUGUUCUUUGGUGCUUGAGUGUUAUCUUAUUCGAUUUUCUUUGGUGUUUUAUUUGCAUGACUACCAUAUUCUAUAUGCUAUAUGCUACCUAUUAGCCUUCUAAUUCCUAUAUUGAGAAUUCUCCUACAAUUGGCCAUUAUUCAAGGUGGUGUUCUUGUGUAUUUGUAUCUUAUGCAAAUGAUGUCCUCUAGAUUUGGUGAACGGUUUCUUUAGACUUACAUUGGAGUGUCCCCAUCCACAUUCUUUCAUUCUAUUUUCCAUUUGAGCAAUGAUCUUCUAAUUAGAAUGUACAUUGCUACCUCGAGUGCUCUUGUGUUUCAGAUUGCGCAUGAAGACAUAUAGGGGGGCCUUGUAUGUAUCAAUCAGUUCAAUGCCUUUUCCACCACUUAAUUUCAGUUUAUAAUUUACCAAGCCUUUUUAAUUCAUGAAAAUAAUAUUUACUUUUACAGCACAUGAAUACCUUUAAAACUGUGAGUUGUAGCAUGGCCUUUUUUGUUCCCUCCCAUUGGCGAUAGUAUAUGGUUUGUGGAAUACUACCUAAAAGUUGUCCCUGGUUGUAGAAAGCACUUGCACGUCUACACGCGCUAUACUACUACACGAGGUGCGAAAGUUGUCACAAGACUAAAGCAUAAAUAUAUAUCUUUUUCCGUUAUUUGAACUGUUCCAAAUUGUUCUUCUUUGCGUGUUGUAAAAUUUUGCUUACCUACUCAAUAUGUGUAUCUGAGGUCUUCACCUAAGAAAGAACUAUUGGUUUUGUCAAAUUUGGUUGAUGCAAUUUUUCUUAAACUCAAUUAGUAACUGAAUCUAAAUUGUAAGAUCAAUCUUGGAUCAAAUGUAAUCCAGCUGUGUAUGAUCAGACUGUACUCAAGGAUGGUACAGAGCAAAAUUCACCUUAAUUGUUCUGUUGUCCUAGUCGCUCCUCUUUGCAAUUGUAACUUUGCCCUAGUAUUGUGAUUGGUGUCAUUUUCUUUGGCUGACAUAUUUGCCUCAACAUGUUGGAAGUGCCAUAUGCUUUGGUAUUAAAGGCUUGCAAUAAGAUUUGUUAUCUUCUGCAUGUGACUAUAGUGUUUUCAAUCAGGUUUGUGUAACUGAUAUAUUUUACUUACUUAUCUGGUAUGAUCAGCAGAGAGCAGCCUAUAACUAGGAUUUCAUGUAUAUAUUAUUUCAAGGUACAAGAAAGGUUCAAGUAUGACACAAAGGAGCUGACUAAGAAGAUUGACAUUUGGACAUACGUUGGCACAGGAAGUGGAUGCGCACUACUGCAGAAAGGCUUAUAGCCACCAGGUGGUUAGUGACAGGCAAAACUAUGCCAGUCACUAGUAAGUAUUACCAGUGACGGGCAAAGUUAAGCCUGUCACUAGUACGAAAUAACAGUGACAGGCUUAUCAAAGUGACUGUCACCACUAUUUCUCAUGGAGGCCGGCCAAUUAAAAUUAUUAGUUAGUGACAGGGUUUUCUAAAGCCUGUCACCGGUAAAAAGACCGGUGCCACCGCGCGCCUCCUCUGCUGGGCGGCCCAACUGCUGGGUCGCUCUCGCUCCAGCUUGGUCAACUACACGAGACCCCCUCCCGUUUCAGAAAAAAAUAAUUACACGAGACCCUCCGAUCCCCAACCUCCGCCGCCCUGCUCCCCUUCCUCGACUCCCAAAGUCCCCAACCGCCGCCACCUCUCCAACGCCGGCAGGCUCCGACGCGAGCGACGCCCUAGACCAUGUGCGUCCCUGCUUGACUGCUUCCCGUCCCCAACCGCCGCCGUUCUGAUCCGCGUAUACGUCCUCGUCCCAGAUUUCCAUGUCCCCAACCGCCGCCGCCCCUCCAACGUCACAAGCCCUCCAACUCCACCAGCCCGCCACGACGACGUCUUCCCCGGACGCGAGGCCGCCGCCACCUGAGGACGCUGCUGCCCGAAGCUGCGCUGCUUCCUCCCCUGCACCGCCCCGCCUCCUGCCACCGACGCGUCCCCGGCCUCUGGUCAUCGAUGCCGCUAGGCCUCCUGCCGCCGACGCGUCCUAGGGAUUGAUUUGGAUCUCCAAGUGCCUUUUUCCGGGAGGCGAGAUCUUUCUCCGCAAUGGGUGUUCCUCAGGUUUUCGUCGGGGUCUUCUGCUACUCUCCGUUCCCAGUGGUAGGGCUAGGUUCUGUGUCGCUGCGGCGGUUGUGGCGAGAGGGUUGGGUCGUUUCCUCAAGAAUUAAAGUCUGAAGCUACGGUUCCUUCAGCUAGGCCUGUUACGUAUGUAAAGGAGACUGAAGCCAUGGUUCUUUCAGCUGGUCCUGCCUACAAUGUAAAAAAGACCGAAGCGACAUUUCUUUAACCUGUGCUGCUCUACAAUGUGACAAGACCCACGCUAUAGUUCCUUCAGCUGGGCAUCCAACACAAUGUAAAGAUGACUGAAACUGUAGUUCAGUCACCUGGAUCUGUCAACAAUAUAAAGAAUACUGAAUCUGUCGUUGCUUCAGGUGUACCUAUCAUGUUUUGAUGCACGAACUAUUGCAGCUCCAUUGACUGAGACUGGCACACGGUUAAAGAACGAAGCCUAUCCAAGCAAUACAUUGCUUCCUCACGGUUUGAAGAAUACAAGAAAUAUAUGAUGCAUAUGCUACUUUGCAGGCUAUCCUCGCAGGAUUUCGUUUUAUUCAGAUUGUACAACCUCAGACACCACUACACCAGGGUAUACCCAAGGUACUACUACCUGAAUGAAUCAGUUUCAUGUUCGUAUGUGAUUGUUUCAUCGAAUUUUGCUGUGAAUACUACUUUUAUUUUAGGUUACCUACCCCACUUCCAGUGCAUUUAUUGAGCUCAUCUCUCAUUUUGAUGUGAUUGACAAGGUUGCAAUUACCUCUGCAAAAGUAAUCAACCCUGCCAUGUUCGAUCAUGUGCUGGCUCGAACAUCUGUUUGGCCACAACAAGUGUCGUUGAUGUUCUCCUUGGUCAUUUGAUUUUGAACUGAAAUUCAUGAACUGUUAAUGUUAAUUGUAUGGUCGUUCUGGUCCCACGAAAGCAUGCUGAAUCCAAACAGUAGGCUCUUUAUUAUUCAACAGAUGCUUAUGUACGUGGUAACAUUGCUCACAAAUAUAUACUCAUUUCCUUGUUUGUAUCAGGUUAAGCAUGUUAUCAGUGUCCUGCGCCAUUCAGGUCCAUACAAGGAAGACAUAAUGAAAGAAUCUACACGUCAACAAGAUGAUGGAAAUGUAGAAUAGUGAAAGGAACUAGCAGUUUUGUAGUUCAAAUUGCUUGCAACAUAACUGAUCAAGUGUUAGUUGUUCAAAUAUUAUGUCAUAUUUGGUGAUGCGAAUAUAUCAUUAGUACAACAUCUUAUUGUGCUAUGUCAAAUACUUGUGG
This is a non-coding RNA of Lolium perenne, 4401 nucleotides long. The record is from RefSeq and is a predicted model, not a curated record. NCBI's taxonomy places the organism in Eukaryota, Viridiplantae, Streptophyta, Magnoliopsida, Poales, Poaceae.